UGGCUUAUGUGUCUUGGCUAAGGUGUCUUGGCUAAUGUGUCUUGGCUAAUGUGUCUUGGCUAAUGUGUCUUGGCUAAUGUGUCUUGGCUAAUGUGUCUUGGCUAAUGUGUCUUGGCUAAGGUGUCUUGGCUAAUGUGUCUUGGCUAAUGUGUCUUGGCUAAGGUGUCUUGGCUAAUGUGUCUUGGCUAAUGUGUCUUGGCUAAGGUGUCUUGGCUAAGGUGUCUUGGCUAAUGUGUCUUGGCUAAUGUGUCUUGGCUAAGGUGUCUUGGCUAAUGUGUCUUGGCUAAUGUGUCUUGGCCAAGGUGUCUUGGCUAAUGUGUCUUGGCUAAUGUGUCUCGGCUAAUGUGUCUUGGCUAAUGUGUCUUGGCUAAUGUGUCUUGGCUAAGGUGUCUUGGCUAAUGUGUCUCGGCUAAGGUGUCUUGGCUAAUGUGUCUUGGCUAAUGUGUCUUGGCUAAGGUGUCUUGGCUAAUGUGUCUUGGCUAAUGUGUCUUGGCUAAGGUGUCUUGGCUAAGGUGUCUUGGCUAAGGUGUCUUGGCUAAUGUGUCUUGGCUAAUGUGUCUUGGCUAAUGUGUCUUGGCUAAUGUGUCUCGGCUAAGGUGUCUUGGCUAAGGUGUCUUGGCUAAUGUGUCUUGGCUAAUGUGUCUUGGCUAAGGUGUCUUGGCUAAUGUGUCUUGGCUUAUGUGUCUUGGCUAAGGUGUCUUGGCGAAUGUGUCUUGGCUAAUGUGUCUUGGCUAAGGUGUCUUGGCUAAGGUGUCUUGGCUAAUGUGUCUUGGCUAAGGUGUCUUGGCUAAUGUGUCUUGGCUAAUGUGUCUUGGCUAAUGUGUCUUGGCUAAGGUGACUUGGCUAAUGUGUCUUGGCUAAUGUGUCUUGGCUAAUGUGUCUUGGCUAAUGUGUCUUGGCUAAGGUGUCUUGGCUAAGGUGUCUUGGCUAAUGUGUCUCGGCUAAUGUGUCUUGGCUAAUGUGUCUUGGCUAAGGUGUCUUGGCUAAGGUGUCUUGGCUAAUGUGUCUUGGCUAAUGUGUCUUGGCUAAGGUGUCUUGGCUAAGGUGUCUUGACUAAUGUGUCUUGGCUAAGGUGUCUUGGCUAAGGUGUCUUGGCUAAUGUGUCUUGGCUAAGGUGUCUUGGCUAAUGUGUCUUGGCUAAUGUGUCUCGGCUAAGGUGUCUUGGCUAUGGUGUCUCGGCUAAUGUGUCUUGGCUAAUGUGUCUUGGCUAAUGUGUCUUGGCUAAGGUGUCUUGGCUAUGGUGUCUUGGCUAAUGUGUCUUGGCUAAUGUGUCUUGGCUAAGGUGUCUUGGCUAAUGUGUCUCGGCUAAGGUGUCUUGGCUUAUGUGUCUCGGCUUAUGUGUCUUGGCUAAUGUGUCUUGGCUAAUGUGUCUUGGCUAAAGUGUUUUGGCUAAUGUGUCUUUUCUAAGGUGUCUUGGCUAAGGUGUCUUGGCUAAUGUGUCUUGGCUAAUGUGUCUUUUCUAAGGUGUCUUGGCUAAGGUGUCUUGGCUAAUGUGUCUUGGCUAAGGUGUCUUGGCUAAUGUGUCUUGGCUAAGGUGUCUUGGCUAAGGUGUCUUGGCUAAGGUGUCUUGGCUAAGGUGUCUUGGCUAAGGUGACUUGGCUAAUGUGUCUUGGCUAAGGUGUCUUGGCUAAGGUGUCUUGGCUAAUGUGUCUUGGCUAAGGUGUCUUGGCUAAUGUGUCUUGGCUAAGGUGUCUUGGCUAAGGUGUCUUGGCUAAGGUGUCUUGGCUAAGGUGUCUUGGCUAAGGUGUCUUGGCUAAGGUGUCUUGGCUAAGGUGUCUUGGCUAAGGUGUCUUGGCUAAGGUGU
Long non-coding RNA from Anopheles funestus (African malaria mosquito), 1804 nucleotides. RefSeq lists it as uncharacterized. The transcript has 3 exons. Lineage: Eukaryota; Metazoa; Arthropoda; Insecta; Diptera; Culicidae. The record is from RefSeq and is a predicted model, not a curated record.